RNAcentral lists this ribosomal RNA (492 nucleotides) under uncultured bacterium. RNAcentral describes it as "partial 16S ribosomal RNA". It matches the Rfam family "Bacterial small subunit ribosomal RNA", at positions 29 to 507 of the family's 1533-position model. The record is from RNAcentral.
AGUGAACGCUGGCGGUAGGCCUAACACAUGCAAGUCGAACGGCAGCACAGUAAGAGCUUGCUCUUACGGGUGGCGAGUGGCGGACGGGUGAGGAAUACAUCGGAAUCUACUUUUUCGUGGGGGAUAACGUAGGGAAACUUACGCUAAUACCGCAUACGACCUACGGGUGAAAGCAGGGGAUCUUCGGACCUUGCGCGAUUGAAUGAGCCGAUGUCGGAUUAGCUAGUUGGCGGGGUAAAGGCCCACCAAGGCGACGAUCCGUAGCUGGUCUGAGAGGAUGAUCAGCCACACUGGAACUGAGACACGGUCCAGACUCCUACGGGAGGCAGCAGUCGGGAAUAUUGGACAAUGGGCGCAAGCCUGAUCCAGCCAUACCGCGUGAGUGAAGAAGGCCCUCGGGUUGUAAAGCCCUUUUGUUGGGAAAGAAAAGCAGCAGGUUAAUACCCCGCUGUUCUGACGGUACCCAAAGAAUAAGCACCGGCUAACUUCGUG